Molecule: long non-coding RNA, 597 nt
Filed under: Phascolarctos cinereus (koala)
Lineage: Eukaryota; Metazoa; Chordata; Mammalia; Diprotodontia; Phascolarctidae
Description: lncRNA (ENSPCIG00000017907.2)
Source: RNAcentral
AUGGUGCUUGCCAAGCCUGCUUUCUGUGUGCUGCUCCUGUCUAUACUGGGCUCGGCUCUGGGGCGCGGCGGCAGGCGCAGGGACUGCAACGUGCCCGACGUGCUUCGGCAUUACCGCGCGGUCAUCUUCGAAGAGUUGCAGGCGGUGAAAAACUUGACGGGCACCGGGGCUCUCAGGCGCCGGGGACGAGGCGCCUCCUGCCGGGCAGAAAAGGAGCACCGCAUCUUGAUGUCUAUCUCAUCCAUGGGACGGGCUCUGCGCAAGGCAGUGGCAGGGGCCGGGGCUGGACCCGGACGCCGCCGCGGAGCCCUGGAGAAGGCCGUGUGGACAGUGGCCAUGCACACUGAGGCAGUGACCCGAGAGUACUGCGGGACUCUGCAUCAGCGAAGCCAGAAGCGGCUGAGCCAGGAGUGGCAGGAGCGGAAGCGGGGUCCGGAGAUGGAGCCAGAGCUGAACCUGGAGCCGGCCCUUGCCCCGGGUCGGAGUCGGGGUCGGGGUCAGAGACGGCGUCUGUUGGGAGCCGUGGAACACUUGGCUGCCUGUUGGGAGAAAUUGUUUUUUCUGCGCUCCCUGGCUUCGGCCGCCGGGAGCUAUUAG